Molecule: ribosomal RNA, 497 nt
Filed under: uncultured bacterium
Lineage: Bacteria
Description: partial 16S ribosomal RNA
Rfam family: Bacterial small subunit ribosomal RNA
Source: RNAcentral
GAUGAACGCUGGCGGCAGGCCUAAUACAUGCAAGUCGAGCGAACAGACGGGGAUUUCGCUCGUCUUAAGUUAGCGGCGGACGGGUGAGUAACACGUGUAUAACCGACCUAUAAGACUGGGAUAACUUCGGGAAACCGAAUAUAAUAUCGGAUAUUAUAUUGAACGGGAUGGUUCAACAGUCCUAGACGGUUUUGAUGUCCCUUAUACAUGUAUCCUCGCCGGAUUAGCUAGGUGGUAAGGUAACGGCUUACCAAGGCGACGAUGCGUAGCCGAUCUGAGAGGAUGAUCAGUCACACUGGAACUGAGACACGGUCCAGACUCCUACGGGAGGCAGCAGUGGGGAAUCUUCCGCAAUGGGCGAAAGCCUGACGCAGCAAUGCCGCGUGUGUGAAGAAGGUCUUCGGAUCGUAAAACUCUGUUAGUAGGGAAGAACAAAAGUGUAUGUAACUAUGCACGUUUUGACGGUACCAACUCAGAAAGCAACGGCUAACUACGUG